AUUUCUUUUUGUCACCAUGACCUCUAAUAGGUGCCUCACUUAUGCUAGAUGACCCAUUGUCAUUGGUUUGUAGCCGGAUAGUGGAUUCCUCUCUGCUUAAAACAGCUAACCAUAUUGAGCUCUCCUUUGCCGUCAUCUUAUCCUGUAAACACUUUGACUGCCGCACUAGUCUCCUGAUCUUUGCAAUAUCAGGUGACAUAUGCUUUAUAACAGCAGUUAGAACACCAACUUUAAACAUUUUCUUUAAAUCAUGUGGCUUCUUAUACGGUGGUUUCUGACCCUUAGGCAGACCCAUUUUCACCCACCAUUCGUCAUUCCCUGAUGGCCACCACGGUGGUGAGACACCUUUCUCCAAUGGGUACUUCCGCUGAGGUGGAUCGCAAUGUUGCAUUAAAGAAGACAAAA
RNAcentral lists this unclassified non-coding RNA (405 nucleotides) under Hevea brasiliensis (rubber tree). The record is from RNAcentral. Lineage: Eukaryota; Viridiplantae; Streptophyta; Magnoliopsida; Malpighiales; Euphorbiaceae.